This is a long non-coding RNA of Homarus americanus (American lobster), 2159 nucleotides long. RefSeq lists it as uncharacterized. The record is from RefSeq and is a predicted model, not a curated record. The transcript has 2 exons. Lineage: Eukaryota; Metazoa; Arthropoda; Malacostraca; Decapoda; Nephropidae.
UGUCCAUCUGUGCAGCGAUGUGACGUGAAGGGCCAGGCAUCCUCAGCUCUUAUAUUGAGAGAAUUGCUCUUCUACUGGUAGUGAAGAGUGGACGGAAUACAGUAUGAAGACCAAGCUUUUCUUUUUGAUAUCUAUUGGUAAAUAAGAGGUAAAGGUGGGGUUAUCAAUUCCAUAGUACCAGAUCAGGUAGUGCAUGCUAAACCCCAAAUAGGUAACCUGCCUCCUUUCUAUACAUUAUGCACUUUAUAUAAACACAACUAUAUACAGUAAUAGUGGGUUAUAUACCCCGGUGAAAAAUUCCAAACAGUUUAUAUGUCGUAUAAAAUUAUUUAUUAAAAAUAGAUUAAUCAGUCCAUACUAAAAACAACUCUUAGAAACUUGACAAGAAACUGCCUACUCAACAAGAUUUCAAAGUAGAUUGAUUCAUAGAAUAUACAGUAAAUUGCAAAUAAUUAUAAAGUGAUUAAAAUAAUUUUAUAUGUUAAAUUUGUUAAAAAAAACAGGUACUAGAACAGGUGAGUGAUGCAAACAAUGUAGACAAAUAACAGUACAGGGGCAACACUGCACUCCAAGUACACUAAUCUUAACAUAAGUUAAAAAUAUCAAUGAAUGACUAGAUCUGUAUUUGUAAAAUUAUAAAAGAGCUUAAGUUUAGGUGCAGGUCUAAUGAACCAUCAUAAAGACUCCAGCUCUGACAGACACUGUAAUUGAUCCUCUUCAAGCUCAGUCAGUUUCUGGCCUACUGCUCCAACACGCGUAGUCAGCUCUGCAAUCUUUUAAAAAUACUUAUUUAUUUACUAAUAAUGAAUCAUAUGUCUUUGUGAAAGAAACACACUGUAGUACAGUAAAGUAGAAUCGCCUUAUUUCGAACUAAAGAGCAGAAAGGGGGUUAGAAAUACAGUACCUGAUAUUUAAAAAAAGGAGAGGAUUUUAUUACUCAAUAUUGCAUAAAUUUGAAAUACUUUCCUAGAAUGAUAAAAUUUCAUUAAUGCUUAUCAUACAGUGAAACUCCCAUAUACCCGUAAUGGAUUUCUCGCCACAAUCCAUUAAAUGAAGGUUUCACAUCUACUGGACCCUUGAUCUAAUGGACUCUUCCAUAUAGUCCGUUAAAUGGAGGUUUUACUGUAGGGUUUAUCCUAAAAUUACUGGAUUACUGAAACGAGAAUAAUUUCAAUAUAUUUUGUCCAUAAAUAUGCAUACUGUACUGUAUUAGGUUAAGGUCAGAUGGGUUUCUUGGUAACCAUGGCUGUACUGUGCAUUGUGCUCCUUCUCUGAUGUCACGGCAACUGACUGCAAAGCCUCUGUUCAGAUCUCUAGAUUCACCUCUUAAAAGUAGCUUUAAUCGUAUACUUUAAUAUUAAAACUUAAAACUGUAGGUACAUAAACAUAAAAACAAAACAUAUAAAUUGCAACAAUGAAAGCAUGUCAGUAACAGCUAAAAUUGGGGGAGGGCUUUGUUCUUGUAUGGCAUGCUAGAUAUUUCAAUAUAGUACAGUACUGUAACAAGAAAUCCAUUAAGCUAUAUAAAUUUAUGUAUCGUGCUGGGUAGAAGCAAGGCAUGUAAAAAGCAUGACUGAUGAUUACAAUAACACUGAAAUACAGUACAGUUCAUUAAAUGGAAGUGUUUUGGAACAUCUUAAGAAAAAACUUCAAAAUGGACUUUUCACCAUUAUGUUACUGUGCCAUCAGAGAUUCACAAUUUGCCAACUUAUACGUUGUCCACAAUAUGUCUGAUUUAUGAAAAUUGAUAAACAAAUAGUACUUGAUAUUAGAGUGUACAGCACUAUACAAUAUAUCGAUGUACAGUACAUGGGAUUUGCCAUGUUAAUUAUAUGUAAAUUGCAUUGGUUUAACUCCAAAAAAGGUUUCAAAAUCAAAGGAUUUGCAGGCAACAUUUGUGGUUGUUAGUUUGUGUGGCACCAGUUGUUUCAUGGCACCUGACCAAUUGUGAUACUGUGGAUCCACUCACCCCCAGUUCUGUGUAACACAUCUUAUUACCUGGCAUCCUAAUGGUUAUAAUAUAUAGAUAAGAGAUAAAAAUUUGCAUAAAAUAUUUUAUUGCACUAGUAUACAUAAAUAGUGUAAUGUAACACAUUUUUAUCAUUUAGUAAUCUAAUGCCGUAACAUAACACUAAUAUGAAAUAAUGGAAAUUUCAAAA